RNAcentral lists this ribosomal RNA (588 nucleotides) under uncultured bacterium. RNAcentral describes it as "bacterial SSU rRNA". It matches the Rfam family "Bacterial small subunit ribosomal RNA", at positions 337 to 916 of the family's 1533-position model. The record is from RNAcentral.
ACCUACGGGAGGCAGCAGUGGGGAAUAUUGGAUACUGUGGGCAACCCUGAUCCAGCCAUGCCGCGUGUGUGAAGAAGGCCUUUUGGUUGUAAAGCACUUUAAGCAGGGAGGAGAGGCUAAUGGUUAAUACCCAUUAGAUUAGACGUUACCUGCAGAAUAAGCACCGGCUAACUCUGUGCCAGCAGCCGCGGUAAUACAGAGGGUGCGAGGGUUAAUCGGAAUUACUGGGCGUAAAGCGAGUGUAGGUGGCUCAUUAAGUCACAUGUGAAAUCCCCGGGCUUAACCUGGGAACUGCAUGUGAUACUGGUGGUGCUAGAAUAUGUGAGAGGGAAGUAGAAUUCCAGGUGUAGCGGUGAAAUGCGUAGAGAUCUGGGGGAAUACCGAUGGCGAAGGCAGCUUCCUGGCACAAUAUUGACACUGAGAUUCGAAAGCGUGGGUAGCAAACAGGAUUAGAUACCCUGGUAGUCCACGCCGUAAACGAUGUCUACUAGCCGUUGGGGUCCUUGAGACUUUAGUGGCGCAGUUAACGCGAUAAGUAGACCGCCUGGGGAGUACGGCCGCAAGGUUAAAACUCAAAUGAAUUGACGG